This 431-nucleotide ribosomal RNA is filed under the name uncultured Pelagibacterales bacterium. RNAcentral describes it as "bacterial SSU rRNA". It matches the Rfam family "Bacterial small subunit ribosomal RNA", at positions 389 to 840 of the family's 1533-position model. Lineage: Bacteria; Pseudomonadati; Pseudomonadota; Alphaproteobacteria; Candidatus Pelagibacterales. The record is from RNAcentral.
CAGCGAUGCCGCGUGAGUGAAGAAGGCCUUUGGGUUGUAAAGCUCUUUCGUCGGGGAAGAAAAUGACUGUACCCGAAUAAGAAGGUCCGGCUAACUUCGUGCCAGCAGCCGCGGUAAUACGAAGGGACCUAGCGUAGUUCGGAAUUACUGGGCUUAAAGAGUUCGUAGGUGGUUAAAAAAGUUGGUGGUGAAAUCCCAGAGCUUAACUCUGGAACUGCCAUCAAAACUUUUUAGCUAGAGUAUGAUAGAGGAAAGCAGAAUUUCUAGUGUAGAGGUGAAAUUCGUAGAUAUUAGAAAGAAUACCAAUUGCGAAGGCAGCUUUCUGGAUCAUUACUGACACUGAGGAACGAAAGCAUGGGUAGCGAAGAGGAUUAGAUACCCUCGUAGUCCAUGCCGUAAACGAUGUGUGUUAGACGUUGGAAAUUUAUUUU